GGAGCUGGGACGGUGAGGAAGUGAGCAGAGGAGCUCAGCGUGCUCUGCUGCCCGCUUGGCUCUCUGGAACGCAGCGCAGCUGGGACUGCAUUUCUUCCUCUGGACCACGGGAGACACGAGAUGACCUCACAUUUCUUCCUCUGGACCACGGGAGACACGAGAUGACCUCGCUGCGCAGCUCUGCACGCAUGGAUCGAUGAAAGCUUUCAACUCCCCGAUGCCUCCUUUGGAGCGUCUUCAUGUGAAGCCUCCCAGGGGGCAAUUUUUACUGUCCUCCUCCUCGCCGGCAGCCCCCAGUUUCCCUUCGGGGACCCAGCGGGCAGCAUCUGCCUCUGACGCCCUUUCAGCGUUCCGUUGUGUGCGCUGAGCGCUUGGCUGAUGGCUCCCGUGGGGUUGUGCAAACCCCUCGCAAGGCUUUUGUUCAGGCUGUCCCGGCAGCUGCAGGUGCCUUCCGCGCACAGCUGCGGGCGCUGAGCACGUUCAGCAUCUGCACCAGCUGCGGCACUGGGCUCGUGUUCUGCUUUCCGUGCUCGCACGCUGCAGCGCUCCUUGCAUUUGCAUCCCAGGGCUCAGAGGGAACCCGAGUGCGGUGGUCUGACAGCAGCAGGCAGUGCCUUGCUCGCCCACUCCCCGAUGAGACAGUGGGGGGGGGGGGAUAUACGGUGAAAUGCUCACACUGUGGGCUGAAUUGAGCACACGCUGAGAACGUGCCUGAAUGGCGAGGACAGCUUUUCUAUAUUGUGAGAAUGGCGUUUUGCAUAACCUGGUGUAAGCUGUAGUACGAGAGGCUUGCGUGAAUGUAAGCUCAAGAACAGAACGUGGAGGAGGGCAUGGAGUUCGUUGUCAAGUGAAGGUAAGGCAGUAGAAUAGAUGUCCUGUUGUGAUGGCAAAACAGGUGCCUCAGCUCAAUGUAACACCAGUGGGAAGCGGUUUGGGUACUCCUCUUAAAAGGCUGGAAAUUUUCAUGGAGAAUGCAUCCCAGGACCACCAGAGAUGUUAAUUAUUUCUUGGAAUGUCUGCCCAUGUCCUUGGAGUCUAAUGAAUAUGUAUAGACCGUACCUUUCUGUAUGUAGUCACUGUUUCUCUUGGUGUGCAUGUCGAUCCCCCAUGCAGCCAGCGCUGUUGUAAAGGGAAUACCUGCUUGACAUAACUCAUUAGUGUGUCAAGUUACUCUGUCGGUUUUCUUGGCUCCAGUUGUCGAUCCAGGCCUGAGCAUCUCUGCUCAACUGUGGGACCCACUGAGAGGACUCCCUGUGCCCACCAGCAGCUUGUCUGGGAGGGACUCCAACUCUCAGGCAGAUCACUGCAGGAGCAAGCCAAAUCCUCUGGAUAAAGGUAUUCCCUAAGUCUGGAUUCUUUUCCUCUGGUUCUUUUCUUUGGUUAAGGCCUUGGGGAAAAGCACUCGUGAGCCAGGUUGGGCAGCACAGAGUGCACGGCAGUAAAAAUUGUGUGUCAGCCCUGAGGGCACCAAACUGGUAAUUUAUUUUGGCACGGGAUGGAAACCGUGAGUCUGCCUGACAGUUAACAGGGCUACGGCCCUGGCAAAGUAGCCGUGUUAGGAGGGACGUUUACAGUUUGGGGUAAAAUAGCUGACUGUAACACUGUACCGCCAGGGGGACUUGGCAGGAAAGUGACGAGUGGAACUUUGUGCACUGCCAUUUGUGGAAAUCGAUAGCUGCACCGUUCUGAACUGAGGUGGUCCUAACGCCGUCUACAUCUAUGAGCAGUUUCCAAAUAGCAAAUAUAGCCGCACUGCUAAAUUUACUACGCCAGCAAGCUAACCUAUUCAGUCGUGUAAAUGCUGCAGGUGCACCCCAGCCUGAGCCGCCAAGGCAGCCAUGGCAGUGGUUUCAGCAGCAGGUGCAGCUGUAAACUCAGACUGAGCGGACCGAACCUGCUGGUAUACCGUUGACACCUCUGAGCUACCACUAGGUAGCUAUAUCACUAGGUAGUGAUAGGACUAGGAGGAUCUUAUUUAAACUGAAAGGGGGCAGGUUUUAAGUUAGAUGUUAGGAAGAAAUUAGCAGUGUCCAGGCCAUCAGCAUCUAUGGAAGAUGCUGUGGGUAGGAAGCUAGCUAGAUUAUCAGGGGCUAACGUUACCAGUGAUAUGGAGUUCCUCUGGUCACAAAUUAAAACCACGAUCCCCCAGUGACUAGUAACUGUGCCAACAUGUUUGAAUGUUUUCAUUAACUGACUUGCUCUGUGAUGGCACAGAACGCAGUGUUGGUCCUUUUUCUUGAUGACUCAGAGCUCAAAGGUGUCCGUGGUUUAUGGGCUGGUUCCGCCUGGUUCCGUGACUAAUGGUAGUGGGGGGACUUCUUUCUACAAAGAGGUUGUCUGAGCAGCCAGGGAUCAGGUUAGGAUAGCUAAAACCCAGAUGGAAUUAAAUCUAGCCAGGGACAUAAAGAGGAACAAGAAGAUUCUAUAGAUACAUAAGCAACAAAAGGAAGGCCAGGGAAGAUGUGGACCCUCUCUGGAAGGAAGACCAGAGACCUGGUCACAAGGGAUAUAGAGACCUGGUCACAAGGGAUAUGGAGAAAGCUGAGGUGCUCAAUGACUUCUUUGCCUCAGUCUUCGUUGGCAAGGGCUCUAGCCACACAGCACAACCUGCAGAAAGCAAAGGUAAGAACUGGGAGAAGGAAGAUCUGCUGUCUGUAAGUGAAGAUCAGGUUCAAGACCAUCAAAAGAACCUGAAGGUGCACAAGUACGUGGGACCCAAUGAGAUCUAUACGCAGGUUCUAAGGAAACCGGCGGAUGAAGUUGCCAAACUGCUGUCCACCACAUUUGGAAGGUCAUGACAGUCUGGUGAAGUACCCACUGUUUGCAACAGUGCAGUUGUCCGACUCUAGAGGGUCAGUAAGUCAUAUCACGCUUGCUUAGGGAGCUUCUGCUUGCCGCAUAUAGGGCUAUCUAAGUGUAUGAAUGUGUGUGUGCAUGCCAAGGAAAUCUUGCAUCUGUUGGAAGCUGUGAAUUUACCGGAGAACAUUUUUGUUAUACAUUGUAGGGGACAUCAGAAGUGCAACCCUGUAGAGGAAAUUGGAAAUAAGAUGGCGGAUCAGGCAGCAAAGCAGGCAGCUGAAGGAAAAGAAAUUGGUGAACUGACUUUAAUUCCAGACAGUCAACUUCAGAUCUCUGAAUUUGAGUCAGAACCUGUAAAAUAUUCUAGAGUGGAUAGGAAUUAAUUUAAUGAAUGAUUUAGAAGGAAAGGAGCAAACUGACAGAUGGACAUACACACCUGAUGGAUGUGCUGUCGUGCCCUUUAGCAGCCUAUGGAAGUCGGUUCUAAGGGAACAUAAUAAAACUCACUGGGGAGUGGAUGCUAUUUAUAAGUAUCCGAACAAAGUAAUUGUCAGUUGCAAUCUGUAUAACGCAACGAAACAGGCUAUUCAUCAAUGUGAAAUCUGUCUGAAGAACAAUCCUAAUGCUAGAAGAGGGUACAAGUGGCAUCUAUCAGGACAGAGAACGUUCCAGGAAAACAAUGGCAAAUAACUUUUCAGAACUUCCGAGAAAACGGGAGUAUCAGUACUUACUGGUGCUGACAGACACUUUUUCAGGUUGUCCUGAAGCUUUUACUUGUAGAACAGAUAAGGUGAGAGAAGUUAGAUGAGUGUUAUUGAAUGAAAUAAUAUCUCAAUUUGGGGUGCGUGUCAUGAUAUCAUCAGGCAGGGGUACUCAUUUCUGUGAGCAAGAGGUACAGCAAGUCAGCAAAAUAUUGGGAAUUUAUCGGCAAUUGCACCUGUCUAUCAAAUUUGGAAUCAGACAGAAUUCAAGAAUAUAUUCAAAAGUUUAAUAAAACCUUUCAUGAAUCCAUAAUGAAAAUGAUAAUUACCCAAAAUGAACUGAAACAGAUUUCAUGGCAAACUGAGGCACAGACAUCUCAUCAUUGGUGGGACAUCUUUGUCGGGUAUUCCCUGAUAUUAUCGAAGGUAUCGGGCGUAUUAAUUCAUCCACUAUUAGUGCUGCUGGUGAUAAGUCUGAUAUUAACAAUUAUAAUCUGCUUCUUUUAGUAUAAACUUAAGAAAUAAAUCCAAAGGGUUUGGGCAUUGCCUACAGUGAUUAAGCAUGAGCAACAUGAGCUUUUGCAAAACAAUUUGCAAGGUUAUUGGAAACGGGGGGAACUGAUUUAAGAAAGAAUUAAACAAAAUAUUCUGUCAGUAUAUCCUUAUAAGAUUGUUGUGUAAUAUGGGUAACACUUGCAACACCAUAGUAGGCUUUUAGAUGUUAUGGGUGAUAAUUGUGAUGCCUCACUGUAAAUGAGGAGGCAUGCUGUGAGACUGAUCUGCUUCACCAUGAUACAGGUUAUCACAAUAUAGUUAAGCUUACCAGUGUUUGUUGAUAGAUACCCCUGCCCUGCAAUUUGUUUAGAUAACAGAAAGAGCUGUGACUCUGAACCAAGGAGAUAAGGAAGUCCUGCUGAGCCUUUGUACCAAGGACAUAGGAGGUCCUGCCUGGAAUCAGUCACUGAAUCUGUAACAUACUUCUGGGAAAACGUGCGUAUGUAACAUAGCUCUGAGAAACUUCCACGUAUGUAGCGUACCUCUUGGAAAACUUCUGCAGGUGUAACACAAGUUAUAUAUAUGAACUGAAGAUCUCUUGUGUAAGCUGUGCGUGAUAGGAGGAUUACCCCUGUGCAUCCAGCGCUGCCACUAAGAAUAUCUCCUUAAUGAUAGUAAAACUUUUGCUGUUAAGUCUCUCUGCAUCGAUUUCUUCUAAUGAAUUGGAAGCAAAAAUUGGGAAGAAUUAAGGGAAGAAUCUUCCCCAGCAAAGCCUUGCCAGGCGGGGAAGAUGAAACAAGCUGAAAUAGGAGAUCAGGUGCUUGGCAUUGAGUGCCCUCCCACCACCUCCACAGGAGGGGAGAGCCCUGGGGCGGGGCGGGAGGAGAUGGGACACAACACUCAUCUGUGUUCUUCCCGUUCUUCUUUCCUGCUACAGGUAUUACAAUCCUGGAAGCAAUGUUUGGGUUACUCUGGCUAAUGCAACUGGACAAGAUAUGCUAUGCGUAAGUACUGCAACCCCGUCAAACUCAGUUCCUGACCUGCCUGGUCAGAGUGCCACGGACUGAAAAUGACUCUCGUGUACUCCAGAACUUCCCAGAUUUACCCGGCCUGAAUGGCAAGGACAUGUGGCUUUCCUGCCAUGUGUUGGGGAAACUCCAGUUCUUACUCCUGAGGAACUCCGGAUGCUGGGGACACUGUACGCUGACUGUCGUACCACGCUCAUGCCUAACACGAGCUGUUGGCACACUGCCAGCUACCCAAGAGGUGGAGCCCCGACGACAGUUGUCUACUCAACAAAAGUGGGUUAUUGGAACGACUCAGUGUGGUGUAAUCACACUGCAAGUAAUGUAUCAAUGGGCUAUAACACCCCAAUGUCCCCGCCAAAGGCAGAUUUUUUAUCAGGGGGGAACAGGUUUGGGCAGGCAUACCUGCUGGGGCUCUGGGAGAGCCACGUACUGGUGAAUGACUACUUGUUUUUAUACCCAAAAUCACCAUGGCAAUUGCAUGGCAGUGGAAAAAAAAAAAAAAAAAAAAAGAAAGAAAACAACACAGACUCGGCGAUCCACCCAGGAAUUUUAUACUUACUCGCUGGAUUGUAAGUCCGAGUUUACAGCUGCACCUGCUGCUGAAAUCAUUGCCAUGGCUGCCUUGGCAGCCCAGGCUGGGGUGUGGCUGCAGCAUUAACACAGUUGAAUAGGUUAGCUUGCUGGCGUAGUAAAUUUAGCAGUGCUGCUACAUUUGCAAUUUGGAAACUGCUCAUAGAUGUAGACGGCGUUAGGACCACCUCAGUUCAGAACGGUGCAGCUAUCGAUUUCCCACUGCUUACCCAAGGCCGUGGAUGCCAGGCCUUUGAUGGACUCUGCUGCAUGAAGCUUUUGGACCAUUCCUAAUCCAUCCAAAGCCACCUGGAUGAAUUAAGGGAUCUUGCUGAUCAGCUGCAGGAGUCCUCAGGAUGGAAUCCUUUUUCAGCCUGGGACUGGGGAUGGGGAUUAUAGAAAAAGAUAGUAUGGAUAGGCUGUAUCUUGGACGUAUGUUUCCUCACUCUUCUGUGCAGUAUUCCAUGCUACUUACAACUUGUACAACAAGCUAUGGAAAGUGCUUUCUGUGGACUUGCAGCAAAAGUAGUGCAGUAACACCAUGUUCCAAACCAGGAUCACGCAGUGCCAUGUGUCAGGGAUCAGAAAGUUCUGACCAAAGAGUCAGAAGAGUUCCUGAGUUGGAACAAGGCAUUCUGGGAAGGUGGUUACAGCUGACUUAGCUUAUUUUGCUAGAAGCUGACCUUGCUGGUUUAUGUUGUUUCGCAAGAAGCUGAACUAGUUUUGCAGGAAGUUGCUCUGCUUCGUCUCUGUAUCCUACGCUGGCCACGCAGCUGCCGUGUGCAAAUGGAAAAAACCCUGCAGACAGUGGGAGAGAAUAAAAGCAGGAGGGAGGCUAUGGUGGAUCCCGGGAGGACAAGUGCACCUUGAAACAGGGGAUGCACCGUGGGCACCAUCUACUGAAACCACUGUGGGCGUGUUCCAUCUCAUCCUCCUGCUCAGCACUUUGUCCGUCCCUAGGAGGUCGAUCAAUCAGAGCCUGUCAAUGAGGCUUUCUACCUCCAGCUACGGGAGGUGUCAUGAUCACAAUUGCUCGUCCUGCUAGGGGACUUCAGCCACUCAGACAUCUGCUGGAAAAGUAGGACAGCAAGCUGUAAGUGAUCUAGGAGGCUCCUGGAAUGCACUGAGAAUAACUUACUGAUUCAAGUAUCCAGCAUGGAGGAUGCACUACUGGACCUGUUGCUCACCAGUGUACGUGAGCUGAGCAGUGACAUCAGAAUUGGAGGCUGCCUGGGCUGUAGCGACCAUGCUAUGAUUGAGGUCACGCUUUGGAAGGACGUGAGACAGGCAAAGAAUAAAAUUAGGGGGCUAAAAUUUAGGAAAGCUAACUUCCAGCUCUUCAGGGAGUUAAUCCAAAACACCCUGGGAAACUGUCCUCAUGGGCAAGGGUGCAAGGCAGAUAUGGCAGAUCUUUAAGGAGGCUUUCUUCAGGGCUCAAGAGCUCUCCAUCCCAGAUGUGGCAAGUCAGGAAAGGAAGGCAAGAGACUAGCAUGGCUGAACUGGGACCCACUGGUCAAACUGAAGAGCAAGAACAGAAUGCACAGGCGGUGGAAACAGCGACAGGCAUAAGGAAGCUGCUAGACUGUAUAGGGAUGAGGUCAGGAAAAGCGAGGCCCAGUUUGAACUGAGCUUGACUAGGGAUGCCAAGAAGAACAAGAAAGGUACCUCAGUCAGAAGAGGAAAGUCCAGGAGGGCAUACCCACCCUAGUGAGAGACGCAGGCAGGCUGGUAACAACGGACAAGGAGAAGGCUGAGGUACGUACAAUGUUUUUUUUCCCUCGGUCUUCUCUGGUAACUGCUCACUGCACAGCCCUCAGACAUUUAUUUGGUUUGGUAGGAGGGGAUACAGGAAGCAACGACCCUCCCCCUGUAGGCAAAGAUCAGGUUCGUGACCACCUGAGGAACCUGAACAUCCAGAAGUCUAUGGGUCCCAAUGAGAUGCACCCCAGAGUCCCGAGGGAAUUGGCUGAUGUGGUUGCCAAGCCACUCUCUACAAAAUUUCAAAAGUCAUGGCAAUCAGCAGUAAGCCCUUGGUGGCUGGAAAAAAGGAAACAUCAUACCUAUUUUUAAAAAGGGUAAAAAAGAUUGCCUUGGGAACAACCGGCCUCUCAGUCUCACCUCUGUGCCGGGGAAGAUCAUGAAGCAGAUCCUCCUGGAAGCAAUGCUAAGGCACAUGGAAGGCAGGGAGGAGAUACGGGAGAACCAGCAUGGCUUCACCACAGGCAAAUCCUGUUUGACCAACCUAGUGCCCUUCUGUGAUGGUGUCACCGUAUCAAUGGACAAGAGAAGAGCCACUGAUGUCACCUAUCUGGACUUCAGCAAGGCCUCUGACACAGUACCCCACAGCAUCCUUCUCUCCAAAUUGAAGAGACAUGGAUUUCACAGGUGGACUGUUUUAUGGACGAAGAACUGGCCGCAGGAGAGUGGUGGUCACUGGCUCAGUGUUUGGAUGGAGACCAGUGAUGAGUGGUGUCCGCCAGGGGUCAGUGGUGGGGCUGAUACUCUUAAUAUCUUCCUCAGUGACAUCAACAGUGGGCUCAAGUGCCCCCUCAGCAAGUUUGCUGAUGACACCAAGCUGUGGGGUGCAGUCACACAUCAGAGGGACAGGAUGCCAUCCAGAGGGACCUAGACAGGCUUGAGCAGUGGGCCCAGGUGAACCUCAUGAUGUUCAGCAACCCAAGGGCAAAGUCUUGCACCCGGGUCGAGGCAACCCCCAUUACUAAUACAAGGUGGGGGAUGGAAGGAUUGAGAGCAGCCCUUCCGAAAAGGACCUGGGGGUACUGGUGGAUGGCAAACUGGACAUGAGCCAGCAAUGUGCUCUCGCAGCCCAAAAAGCCAACCUUAUCCUGGGCUGCAUCUAAAGAAGCAUGGGCAGCAGGACGAGGGAGGUGAUCCUGCACCUCUAUUCUGCACUGGUGAGGACACACGUGGAGUACUGUGCCCAGAUGUGGAAUCCUCAGUACAGGAAAGACAUGGACCUGUUGGAGUGCGUCCACCAAAGGGCCACAAAAAUGAUUAACAGAAUGGAACACCACCUCUCCUAUGAGGACAGACUGGGAGAGCUGGGGCUGUGCAGCCUGGAGAAGAGAAGGCUGCGAGGUGACAUGAGAGCGGCCUCUCAAUAUCUAAAGGGGAGCUACAGGAAAGAAGGGACAGACUCUUCAGCAGGGUCUGUGGUGAUAGAACAAGGGGAAAUGGCUUCCAGCUCAGGGAGAGGAGAUUCAGGAUAGGUAUAAGCAAAAAAAAUCUUUUACAGUGAGGGUAGCAAGGCAUAGGAAGAGGUUACCUAGUGUUGUGGUUGAUGCCCCAUCCCUGUGCCAACUGGGGGAUCUUUUGAGUGACUGGAAGCACGCCUAAAGGGGACCACUACCCAAGAAAGAGCUGCAGAAAUCCUGUUAGAAAAUGGUACGGCCAUCCAACGGGAGGUACAGAAAAAUACCUGGCUCACUGAGAAGCACUGCGAGUGCAGCCCCCAACACACAAACACAGCGAGCCUCAGCACAGAAGGGAGCUGCCAGCACAGCAGCCUGCUGGAGCACCACCUCUGCUGAUGUUUUCUACAGCAGGAAUGGCGCACAGCCCUCAGGUAAGGCAGUGCCGAGACGAUCCUCCACCCUUCCUCCCCAGCAGAGCCCGAAUGGAUGGCAAAUGGAAAUGCCGUGCCCGCGCUGCCACGGGGUGAGGGAGGAAAGGGUGACGCACCCCGCCCUGCUCGGCCUCACCUGGCUGACUCUGCUGGGAAGUCAGCCAUUCUCCUCUUUUCCAUUGGUAAGAAAACAAGUUCACCGCCUUCCUUAAGCACUACUUGGUGUAUAUUUUUAUAUAUAAAUAAACAUAUACAGGCUACUAUCG
Long non-coding RNA from Gallus gallus (chicken), 9445 nucleotides. RefSeq lists it as uncharacterized. Lineage: Eukaryota; Metazoa; Chordata; Aves; Galliformes; Phasianidae. The transcript is spliced from 2 exons. The record is from RefSeq and is a predicted model, not a curated record.